Molecule: ribosomal RNA, 997 nt
Filed under: uncultured Parabacteroides sp.
Lineage: Bacteria; Pseudomonadati; Bacteroidota; Bacteroidia; Bacteroidales; Tannerellaceae
Description: bacterial SSU rRNA
Rfam family: Bacterial small subunit ribosomal RNA
Source: RNAcentral
GNAUUUAUUGGNUUUAAAGGGUGCGUAGGCGGCCUUUUNAAGUCAGCGGUGAAAGUCUGUGGCUCNNCCAUAGAAUUGCCGUUGAAACUGGGAGGCUUGAGUAUGUUUGAGGCAGGCGNNNGCGUGGUGUAGCGGUGAAAUGCUUAGAUAUCACGCAGAACCCCGAUUGCGAAGGCAGCCUGNCCAAGCCAUGACUGACGCUGAUGCACGAAAGCGUGGGGAUCAAACAGGAUUAGAUACCCUGGUAGUCCACGCAGUAAACGAUGAUCACUAGCUGUUUGCGAUACAUUGUAAGCGGCACAGCGAAAGCGUUAAGUGAUCCACCUGGGGAGUACGCCGGCAACGGUGAAACUCAAAGGAAUUGACGGGGGCCCGCACAAGCGGAGGAACAUGUGGUUUAAUUCGAUGAUACGCGAGGAACCUUACCCGGGUUUGAACGCAUUCGGACCGAGGUGGAAACACCUUUUCUAGCAAUAGCCGUUUGCGAGGUGCUGCAUGGUUGUCGUCAGCUCGUGCCGUGAGGUGUCGGCUUAAGUGCCAUAACGAGCGCAACCCUUGCCACUAGUUACUAACAGGUGAUGCUGAGGACUCUGGUGGGACUGCCAGCGUAAGCUGCGAGGAAGGCGGGGAUGACGUCAAAUCAGCACGGCCCUUACAUCCGGGGCGACACACGUGUUACAAUGGCGUGGACAAAGGGAUGCCACCUGGCGACAGGGAGCGAAUCCCCAAACCACGUCUCAGUUCGGAUCGGAGUCUGCAACCCGACUCCGUGAAGCUGGAUUCGCUAGUAAUCGCGCAUCAGCCAUGGCGCGGUGAAUACGUUCCCGGGCCUUGUACACACCGCCCGUCAAGCCAUGGGAGCCGGGGGUACCUGAAGUCCGUAACCGCGAGGAUCGGCCUAGGGUAAAACUGGUGACUGGGGCUAAGUCGUAACAAGGUAACAAUCACUAGUGAAUUCGCGGCCGCCUGCAGGUCGACCAUAUGGGAGAGCUCCNNA